Molecule: long non-coding RNA, 275 nt
Filed under: Prunus persica (peach)
Lineage: Eukaryota; Viridiplantae; Streptophyta; Magnoliopsida; Rosales; Rosaceae
Description: long non-coding RNA (PPER_LNC005240)
Source: RNAcentral
GACAAUUUAGGUUCGUACAAAGUUCGUUCUGAAAUGGAGUGGUUGGUGUAUUGCAUAGUUUUACCCAUUGGAUUUCACUCAAAACUCACCAAAUGACUCCACCUCCCAUUAUAUUAUGAUAUUACCCACUUUUUGGACUCAAUCCGAUAUCGAUUGGUCCAUGAAAUUGGACAAUUCAGAUUCGAACGAAGUUCGUUCUGAAAUGGAGUGGUUUGUGUAUUUCUAAGUUUUAGCCAUUGGAUUUCACUCAAAAGUCACCAAAUCACUCCUCCUAC